AUUGAACGCUGGCGGCAGGCCUAACACAUGCAAGUCGAACGAGUGGCGGACGGGUGAGUAAUGUCUGGGAAACUGCCUGAUGGAGGGGGAUAACUACUGGAAACGGUAGCUAAUACCGCAUACCAUCGGAUGUGCCCAGAUGGGAUUAGCUAGUGGGUGGGGUAAAGGCUCACCAAGGCGACGAUCCCUAGCUGGUCUGAGAGGAUGACCAGCCAAACUGGAACUGAGACCCGGUCCAGACUCCUACGGGAGGCAGCAUUGGGGAAUAUUGCACAAGGUGCGCAAGCCUGAUGCAGCCAUGCCGGGUGUGUGAAAAAGGCCUUCGGGUUGUAAAGCACUUUCAGCGGGGAGGCGUUACCCGCAGAAGAAGCACCGGCUAACUCCGUGCCAGCAGCCGCGGUAAUUC
Molecule: ribosomal RNA, 406 nt
Filed under: uncultured bacterium
Lineage: Bacteria
Description: partial 16S ribosomal RNA
Rfam family: Bacterial small subunit ribosomal RNA
Source: RNAcentral